UCGGGAAUUUUGGGCAAUGGGCGAAAGCCUGACCCAGCAACGCCGCGUGAAGGAUGAAGUAUUUCGGUAUGUAAACUUCGAAAGAAUAGGAAGAAUAAAUGACGGUACUAUUUAUAAGGUCCGGCUAACUACGUGCCAGCAGCCGCGGUAAUACGUAGGGACCAAGCGUUGUUCGGAUUUACUGGGCGUAAAGGGCGCGUAGGCGGCAAUUCAAGUCAUCUGUGAAAUCUCCGGGCUUAACUCGGAACGGUCAGAUGAUACUGCUUUGCUAGAGUGCAAAAGGGGCAAUCGGAAUUCUUGGUGUAGCGGUGAAAUGCGUAGAUAUCAAGAGGAACACCUGAGGUGAAGACGGGUUGCUGGGCUGACACUGACGCUGAGGCGCGAAAGCCAGGGGAGCAAACGGGAUUAGAUACCCAAGUAGUCCCUGAGCGGGCUGGCAAGGCGCAU
Molecule: ribosomal RNA, 447 nt
Filed under: uncultured bacterium
Lineage: Bacteria
Description: bacterial SSU rRNA
Rfam family: Bacterial small subunit ribosomal RNA
Source: RNAcentral